This 349-nucleotide ribosomal RNA is filed under the name Crematogaster scutellaris. Its description in RNAcentral is "eukaryotic LSU rRNA". It matches the Rfam family "Eukaryotic large subunit ribosomal RNA", at positions 46 to 379 of the family's 3401-position model. The record is from RNAcentral. Lineage: Eukaryota; Metazoa; Arthropoda; Insecta; Hymenoptera; Formicidae.
UUAAGCGGAGGAAAAGAAACUAACCAGGAUUUCCUCAGUAGCGGCGAGCGAACAGGAAAGAGCCCAGCACCGAAUCCCGCGGUUCCGCCGCAGGGAAAUGUGGUGUUCGGGAGGAUCCGAUUAUCCCGAGGCGUCGCGUCGCGUCCAAGUCCAUCUUGAAUGGGGCCACUUACCCGCAGAGGGUGCCAGGCCCGUAGCGACCGGUGCGCGUCUCGGGAGGAUCUCUCCUUAGAGUCGGGUUGCUUGAGAGUGCAGCUCUAAGUGGGUGGUAAACUCCAUCUAAGGCUAAAUACGACCACGAGACCGAUAGCGAACAAGUACCGUGAGGGAAAGUUGAAAAGAACUUUGA